CGGUUUCGACGUGUCAUAUUAAUUUUUAAUUGCAGUGGGGUUAGCCCCUUAUCGCUUUCGAGGCAUCUUAAAUGCAGAAAACAAAAAAUCUUCUGAAGUAGAAUUAAACCCAGUGUUUAUGGCUUCAGCUACUAAUGCAAACUACGCUUUUGCGUACUAAUUAAUUAUUAGUAGAAACGUUCACUAACACAAUUACUAUUGGUUGGUUUUUGGGCUUAUUGUACAAUAGUUUUAAGUUUAAAAAUUGUUAUUUGUUGUUUUAAAUUUAAAUAAAUCUAACAAAUAGUUAGUUAAUUAUAAAUUCGUUUUAUUAUUUGUUAACUACACUACUUCUAAUAAAACUAAACUGUAGACAUUAUUAAUUAAGUGUUGCGGAAAGGGGUUCGACUCCCCUCAUCUCCACCA
This 405-nucleotide transfer-messenger RNA is filed under the name Ureaplasma urealyticum. It matches the Rfam family "transfer-messenger RNA". Rfam says of the family: Bacterial tmRNA, also known as 10Sa RNA or SsrA, is named for its dual tRNA and mRNA-like properties. Its role is to liberate the mRNA from a stalled ribosome. The record is from RNAcentral. Lineage: Bacteria; Bacillati; Mycoplasmatota; Mycoplasmoidales; Mycoplasmoidaceae.